Molecule: transfer RNA, 36 nt
Filed under: Saponaria pumila
Lineage: Eukaryota; Viridiplantae; Streptophyta; Magnoliopsida; Caryophyllales; Caryophyllaceae
Description: partial tRNA-Ser
Source: RNAcentral
GCAAUCCGGACGUUUCGUCCACUCAGCCAUCUCUCC